UAGACGUUAAAUUCGAUAUGCUAUAAAACUGGUUUUAAACUUUCUUUUCCUUUUCUCUUUACUCGUCAGGUGAAGACGACAUGCUCACAUUGACCUGACUUGUCAGGUCUGGGUGUAAACACCAGCUACCAUGUCUGUCCAGGAAGCAUCCCAACGGCCCACGUCGCCUAAACCCCUCAAACCUGAGCCCAAACCGAGACUGGAGAUCCCUCCAAAACCGACACCACAAACCAGCUGCCCUCCUCUGGGAGACCGCGGCAUCAGCACGAGGCUUUCUGGAGGAAAGGUCAAGAGGAUUGUGAACAAGUUCAGCAUACAGGAUUCGAAUGAACCGGCGGAACAACCCACCAAUGGUACUGCAAAACUAAGGUCAAUUAAACGGUUCAAAAGGCCGCCUACGGUAAAGCCCAAACCAGGCCGUGCCAGUCUGCAGCUUCAGAUUAGCGGAGAGAAAGCGCCUCCGCUGCCUGUUAAGAGGAGCCGCACCCUUCAGAAGCAGGAGGGUGGGGGUGCAGAGGAGGGGGACACCAUCAGUGUGGAAGGAGGUCGAUCAGCGCCUGAUGGAAAAGAGGUGGAGAUCCAGUUGAUUGGAGGAGGUGAAGCGGAGGCGGAACACAGUCCUCACACACCUAAUCUCAGUCCAUGCUGCGACCCGGGCUGCAGCUGCGCGUGCCACCUCCAGUGGCCUGGCAUGAAACUAAUAUGGGUGCCCGUGGAGAUGCAUGAUGGUGGGGAGGAGCACAGUGUUGUAGGAGACGAGGAUGAGACUGAUGUGGAAGAGCAGAGAUGGGAGGACGAGGAGGUAGAGGGGGGAGGGGAGAGGGACAGCGAGGCAGAGGAUGAGGUGGACCGGACGUCUUUGGUUGACGAGAGUGAAGUGUCGAAACAAGAAAAGUCAAAGUUUCACCAGUGUUUGGAGGUUUUGCUCGGUGAUGGUAACCGGAGGCUUUCAGACCCGGGCCCUCACUCUGUUUUCACCUCUCUCGCUGUCACUCGCUCUCAGUCUCCCCCUGUUCCCCCAAAACGGGCUCAGUCACCACAAAUCCACCACUUAUCCACCCAAAACGAAGAAGAAAAUAUUUACGAGGACACCCUUCCAGCGGUCGACCCCACUCCUAAAAAGCCCAAUGUGUGUAAGGAACUGGAUAUUCCACUAAUCAAAGUGCGCAAACCAGCUCGACGGUCUAAACUGUCCUACAGCACCUCAGACCAGACGUCCGAGUUUCAUACGAACACAGAACCCAUCUUGAACCCAGACAAUAUGCCGCCUGCCAUCCCGCCGAGGAUGCCUGUGGGUCAUGACAGCCGCAGCCUCACAAUGGCACCCCGGGGCGGCGUUCCUCUCCCCCAGCCCACACUAGAGGAGUGGCGCACCUUGCGGCCCUCAUCCCCCAGCAGCUCCACUGCCAGCGUGCUGAGCACCCAGAGGGACAUCACUCCGACCCCACCCAACCCUCACAGACCCCCACCUCCACCACCAAAGACGGAUCCCAGGAGGCUUAGUAGUGCCUCACUGCAAUCCCUCACACAGAAAAAAG
RNAcentral lists this long non-coding RNA (1538 nucleotides) under Sander lucioperca (pikeperch). RNAcentral describes it as "lncRNA (ENSSLUG00000014065.1)". Lineage: Eukaryota; Metazoa; Chordata; Actinopteri; Perciformes; Percidae. The record is from RNAcentral.